AAAGGCUACACGUGAAGAAUUUCAGUUGUUUUGGUGGUCCACUUGUCCAAUGGAAUGCGCAGCACUUAGAUCAUGGGUUUUAAGUGGGAAACCAAUUUCUGUGAUGCGUACCAGAAAAUAAGCUAUAGGAUGGAAAGUGGCUGCUUCUUGCUGAUGAUGACGCUGAUCUGCAAUUACCAAUGCAGUGACAUAUUUGUAAACGAAAGUGCCCGGCCCGAAGAAAAUGUACACAAGUGGGGCAGGACUGAAAAUUUCAUUCCUACGAGAGAAAAGCAGCUCAACGUCCAGGGACGCACGAGGCCGAAUCCUAAGGAAGCUUCACUGAACACGGUCGAAUUAAUAAAUGGUCGAGGUUACCCGUUUGAAAUUCACAGUGUGACAUCCAGUGAUGGCUACAUUCUCGAAUUGCAUCGCAUUCCAUACGGUAGACACAAGAAGAUGGCGCCCAAGGUCUCAGGACAACCCGUUUUUCUUCAACACGGACUUAUGAAUAGUGAUAAUGUCUGGCUACUUCUUCCAGAUGCUCUUGCGUUCACUUUAGCCGACGCAGGAUAUGACGUUUGGUUGGGUAAUGCUCGAGGUAAUACGUACUCACGCCGACAUGUUAGUCUCGAUCCAUCACAAGAAGACUAUUGGAAUUUCUCGUUCGACGAAAUGGGCAACUACGACAUUCCAGCCGUCAUUAAUUUCGUGCUGACAAAGACCGGAAGUGAAAAGAUGAGCUACGUUGGUCACUCAAUGGGAUGUACCAUGUUCUUUAUUUGCAUGUCGUUACAUCCUGAGUUAAAUGAGAAGAUUGAUGUGAUGAUUGCAUUAGCACCUGCAGUUUCAAUGGCAAAGUCAACAGCUCCUCUAAUGGUUAACCAAGCACCAUUUGCUCCACAAAUAAAGUAUGUUUUUGAUUUGAUUGGUGUGCGUGCGUAUCAACCAGUCGAUUCAUUUUGGAACAACCUCCGUAAGCGAUAUUGUGAACCUAAUCUUUUCUUGCGUUAUUCUCUUUGUCAGAAUACCUUAUUCUCCUCUUCGGGGGAUGAAUACCACUCUUUAGAUUUGAAUCUUUUACCAAUUAUUGAUGGUCACAAUCCUGCCGGAACAUCAGUUAACACUGCUGUUCAUUAUGCGCAGAACUACAUGGCCGGUCAGACAUUUCAACGUUUUGAUUUUGGGGUUGAGGAAAAUCAAUUGCGCUAUGGCCAAACAACUCCACCAACUUACGAUUUAAGUAAGGUCACAUCGGAUGUCUUCAUUUUCUGGGGGCAAAGCGACAAGGUGUCUGCUCCUACGGAUAUUGCCUGGCUGGAAACCAAACUAGGAAACUUGAGAAAUUCCAUUAUGAUUGAAGAUCCGCUAUGGAAUCAUUUUUCGUUUCUUUUUUCAGCAGAUGCCAAACGGCUAGUCUACGACAAACUGAUUCCAUUCCUGCCAAAACCUAUUUUGUAGUUUCGGAUGUGUUUUAUAAAUUUGUUCAAAGUUUUCAUAGGAAAGAAAGUUGGGAAAUUUAAACAAAUACGCGAGUUUUUAUUCUUUAACCAUUUAAAAACAAACGAUUAGGAAAAGGUUCAACAGAAAUCCCUCCCAUCGACAACCAUAUCAAGGACAUCUAAGAUAAACUGUUUUUGCACCAUUUCUUCUCUAAUUUAUUGGUGUUACCUGCCACCUUUGUCACUACUCCUCUCGUCCUAGUUGUCAAUUUAAAAGCUUUUUUGGAUUAUUGAAUCAACAAUGAGCUUCUCGUUCUAGGUUCUAUCGAAUCAACUAUGAAGUCGUUUGUAAUACUUCACUUCAAUUCUUUUUGUGCUGGGCUAGCUAUGAGGAAAAGUGUUGUCAGAUCCAUCAGGGUUUUUUGUGCUACGUAACCUCUUGCAUUAUGGAUGUAACAUAACUAUUUCUCUUGUUUGUAACGGUUGUAGGAAGAUGGUGAAUCAGCAUAGUUCUAUGUAUAAUUUAGCAAGUGCAAUAUACAGUCCGCAAAUAGUA
This 1977-nucleotide unclassified non-coding RNA is filed under the name Daphnia magna. RNAcentral's name for it is "lipase member K, transcript variant X1". The record is from RNAcentral. Lineage: Eukaryota; Metazoa; Arthropoda; Branchiopoda; Diplostraca; Daphniidae.